Molecule: long non-coding RNA, 248 nt
Filed under: Nicotiana benthamiana
Lineage: Eukaryota; Viridiplantae; Streptophyta; Magnoliopsida; Solanales; Solanaceae
Description: long non-coding RNA (NBEN_LNC039343)
Source: RNAcentral
CCACUGUGGGGGUUGGAUAAAGGGUGGUGUGACGGUCCUGCGGUGUAAAUUUGAAACUGUUUGGAAUAACUUGCAUCGGCCGGAAAAACCUUGAUGGGAGAUUCCAGAUCUUCUGGUAAUAUUCAAGGUAUGUAACCAUGGGGAAUGGGAAGAGGAGGUUGAAGGGAAUCGGCGGUGUUGACUUGGCGACCAACGGCAAAAGUUGCGUUUCCUGCUGGCGAGGGAUUCCGGCGAGGAUUAGGGUCUAC